RNAcentral lists this transfer-messenger RNA (395 nucleotides) under Legionellaceae. Its description in RNAcentral is "Legionella_A impletisoli Standard tmRNA". It matches the Rfam family "transfer-messenger RNA". Rfam says of the family: Bacterial tmRNA, also known as 10Sa RNA or SsrA, is named for its dual tRNA and mRNA-like properties. RNAcentral also lists the same sequence under 1 other name. Lineage: Bacteria; Pseudomonadati; Pseudomonadota; Gammaproteobacteria; Legionellales. The record is from RNAcentral.
GGGGGCGACCUGGCUUCGACGUGGGUUGCGAAACCUGAUGUGCAUGCCGAGAAUGAGAUCUCUCGUAAAUAAGACUCAAUUAAAUAUAAAUGCUAACGAUGCAUACUUUGGAGAUGAAGCUAUCGCUGCGUAAGCUUUGAUAGUGUAGUCCCACCGUGCGCUGCCAAAAACCAGCGCCCCGUUGACCGAGCUUGCUUAUCGGUAUCGACUCAACGGUCAUAGAAGAUAAGCUAGCAAUUUGAGCCUUCCCGUUUCAAAUUGUGAAAUUUAGGGAAUCGCCGUGUAGAAUCCUGUCGGUCGGAGGCUACCCGGUUAACUUAAUAGACCUGACUAAGCAUGUAGACCUGAAGGCAGAGGAUUUGCGGACGCGGGUUCAAUUCCCGCCGCCUCCACCA